AUUGAACGCUGGCGGCGUGCCUAACACAUGCAAGUCGAGCGGUAACAGGUGUAGCAAUACAUGCUGACGAGCGGCGGACGGGUGAGUAACGCUUGGGAAUCUGCCUAUUAGUGGGGGACAACCCGGGGAAACUCGGGCUAAUACCGCAUACGCACUACGGUGGAAAGCCGGGGACCGCAAGGCCUGGCGCUAACAGAUGAGCCCAAGUCGGAUUAGCUAGUUGGUAGGGUAACGGCCACCAAGGCGACGAUCCGUAACUGGUCUGAGAGGACGACCAGUCACACCGGAACUGAGACACGGUCCGGACUCCUACGGGAGGCAGCAGUGGGGAAUAUUGGACAAUGGGCGAAAGCCUGAUCCAGCGACGCCGCGUGGGUGAAGAAGG
RNAcentral lists this ribosomal RNA (385 nucleotides) under uncultured bacterium. Its description in RNAcentral is "bacterial SSU rRNA". It matches the Rfam family "Bacterial small subunit ribosomal RNA", at positions 29 to 414 of the family's 1533-position model. The record is from RNAcentral.